Molecule: non-coding RNA, 595 nt
Organism: Lupinus albus (white lupine)
Lineage: Eukaryota; Viridiplantae; Streptophyta; Magnoliopsida; Fabales; Fabaceae
Source: the annotation of a GenBank genome assembly
CGUUCCGCAAGAGGCGUGCAAACAGGUUUGGGCCAUAAAUGCGGUAGAGAAGGGUUGCGCCCGAACCUUCAGCAUUUAUGGCCCAAAGCCAAUACAAAGGAUUUCGGUUCCAUCUUGCUCGAAUCUUACUGUACCCCGGGAAGAACCCAGAGGAAAAGGGGAUUUUGUGCUGUGAAGGUGGGAUCGGUACACACGGAUAAGGACUAUCAUGAGGCUCUAUGUACUUCAUUCCGUUUACCCCGCCUUCCGAAUUCGACAUUUCCCAUUUUCCAUGGAAUAAGUAGGAUUCAGGUGAUAACGGGGAUAACCAUUGCUGUGGGUGAGGGAGAGAUAAAUAAUUUUCGACUCUAGGUUUAGGUGAUCCUUCCAAAUCAUAAGCCUUCUCCAGUGCCUGGGUGGGUGCGCGAAAUCAUCGAUUCUAAGUGCUAAUAAUAGGUAUUCCCCUACCCUUAAAUCAGUAGGGCAAGUCAAUUUAACCUUCCCCGCUGGAGGAUUCUGUAACCACUAGAUUCUUUCGAGGGCUUGGUUUGGAGAUAGCUGCAGGUUCUGAAAUGCAGACUCCUCACUACGCUACGGGGUCGGAUGAAGGGAUUCG